This 458-nucleotide ribosomal RNA is filed under the name uncultured bacterium. RNAcentral describes it as "partial 16S ribosomal RNA". It matches the Rfam family "Bacterial small subunit ribosomal RNA", at positions 338 to 795 of the family's 1533-position model. The record is from RNAcentral.
CCUACGGGUGGCAGCAGUGAGGAAUAUUGGUCAAUGGGCGAGAGCCUGAACCAGCCAAGUCGCGUGAGGGAGUACUGCCCUAUGGGUUGUAAACCUCUUUUGUCGGGGAGCAAAAGCCGGACGUUUCCGGCUGUGAGAGUACCCGAAGAAAAAGCAUCGGCUAACUCCGUGCCAGCAGCCGCGGUAAUACGGAGGAUGCGAGCGUUAUCCGGAUUUAUUGGGUUUAAGGGGUGCGCAGGCGGAUUUUUAAGUCAGCGGUAAAAUCGUGGGGCUCAACCCCAUCCAGCCGUUGAAACUGGGGAUCUAGAGUGUGCGAGAGGUAUGCGGAAUGCGAGGUGUAGCGGUGAAAUGCAUAGAUAUCACGCAGAACCCCGAUUGCGAAGGCAGCAUACCGGUGCACAACUGACGCUCAGGCACGAAAGCGUGGGUAUCGAACAGGAUUAGAUACCCUAGUAGUC